GACGAACGCUGGCGGCGUGCCUAAUACAUGCAAGUUGAGCGAUGAAGAUUGGUGCUUGCACCAAUUUGAAGAGCAGCGAACGGGUGAGUAACGCGUGGGGAAUCUGCCUUUGAGCGGGGGACAACAUUUGGAAACGAAUGCUAAUACCGCAUAACAACUUUAAACAUAAGUUUUAAGUUUGAAAGAUGCAAUUGCAUCACUCAAAGAUGAUCCCGCGUUGUAUUAGCUAGUUGGUGAGGUAAAGGCUCACCAAGGCGAUGAUACAUAGCCGACCUGAGAGGGUGAUCGGCCACAUUGGGACUGAGACACGGCCCAAACUCCUACGGGAGGCAGCAGUAGGGAAUCGUCGGCAAUGGACGAAAGUCUGACCGAGCAACGCCGCGUGAGGGAAGAAGGGUUUCGGAUCGUAAAACUCGGUUGGUAGAGAAGAACGUUGGUGAGAGUGGAAAGCUCAUCAAGUGACGGUAACUACCCAGAAAGGGACGGCUAACUACGUG
This 497-nucleotide ribosomal RNA is filed under the name uncultured bacterium. RNAcentral's name for it is "partial 16S ribosomal RNA". It matches the Rfam family "Bacterial small subunit ribosomal RNA", at positions 28 to 507 of the family's 1533-position model. The record is from RNAcentral.